GCAGGGAGAACCAGAUGAUUUGGAGGGGAGCCUCUGCCUGAGUACCUCUGCAUUGUUAUGGAAGUGCGUCAGGCAGCUUGAAAGAAGAGAUGGAGUCUUAUUCAUCCAGCAUUCUUGUCUUGUCCACCCUCACCCACCAAGGGUGGAACCCAAGCCUGAGGAAAGGGAGCCAUGGAAAGGCUAGGGGAUUCAAGGCACCUUUGAGGGCUGGGGCCCUCUCUGGAGCCAGAUGCUUGACUCCCUGGCCCAGAGGUUUCCAGAUCAGAAGUGGAGGGUUCCCACCAAGGUCUCCAUUAGGGCCCUGACCCCACCCUGGCAUCUGCCCCUUUCUUCUGCCCAGGCUAACUGAAGUUUCAAGGUCAAGGGAUCCUGGGAGAGGUGGAACAGGGCAGGGGAUUUGCAUCCACACAAGCCUAGACUGGUGAGGCAAGAGAAGCAAGCCAAGUCAUCUGUGGUUAGAAAGACUCUUAGACCUGAAGUGCAUGGGCUGCCUCGGCCCCUUUCUUUGCUUAUUUUAG
Molecule: non-coding RNA, 518 nt
Organism: Ceratotherium simum simum (southern white rhinoceros)
Lineage: Eukaryota; Metazoa; Chordata; Mammalia; Perissodactyla; Rhinocerotidae
Source: RefSeq, a predicted model, not a curated record